CACAUACUCCCUUCGUCCGGAAAUACUUGUCAUGGGAAUGGAUGUAUCUAGAUGUAUUUUAGUUCUAAAUACAUCCAUUUUUAUUCACUUGUGUGACAAGUAAUUUCGGACGGAGAUUGUAUUAA
Non-coding RNA from Hordeum vulgare subsp. vulgare (domesticated barley), 125 nucleotides. The record is from Rfam. Lineage: Eukaryota; Viridiplantae; Streptophyta; Magnoliopsida; Poales; Poaceae.